CGGCAACAGCUCAAAUUUGAAAUCUGGGCCUUUUAGGUCCCGAGUUGUAAUUUGUAGAAGAUGCUUCGGGCGUGGCUCCGGUCUAAGUCUCUUGGAACAGGGCGUCAUAGAGGGUGAGAAUCCCGUAUGUGACUGGCUGCCUCCGUCCAUGUGAAGCUCUUUCGAC
RNAcentral lists this ribosomal RNA (166 nucleotides) under Chalara africana. Its description in RNAcentral is "partial large subunit ribosomal RNA". It matches the Rfam family "Eukaryotic large subunit ribosomal RNA", at positions 99 to 261 of the family's 3401-position model. Lineage: Eukaryota; Fungi; Ascomycota; Leotiomycetes; Helotiales. The record is from RNAcentral.